This 506-nucleotide long non-coding RNA is filed under the name Equus caballus (horse). Its description in RNAcentral is "lncRNA (ENSECAG00000044992.1)". The record is from RNAcentral. Lineage: Eukaryota; Metazoa; Chordata; Mammalia; Perissodactyla; Equidae.
ACUGCUUCCUGUGGUACAGCCUCUGUCACCAAGACAGGGGUAUUCUGACUUUUUUCAACAAUUUACUUUGAAUAGAUAUAGUAAUGGGGACGUCCAGCCACAAAUUUCCUUUCAUUUGGAGCUCUGAAGGGUAAAGAUGAACUACAGGUAAAAGGUAUUGAGAGGGCGUAUCCUUUUACAAUGAGAGCUCUGAAAAUAUUGUGGCCACUCUACUAAUGGAGGCUUAGAAAGCUGAGAGGCUGUCUGCUGUAUUCUGAACUGUGGUUCUGAAGAGGUGGAACACACUGCACUUGAGCCAGGGUCUUGGGAAAAGCUGAGGCUAGAGGAUGUGCAUGGUCUGGCUUGAGACCCCUAGUCCACUUGGGAUGCUGAUGAGGUUCCAGAAAGAACCAAAAGAAUACCCUGGGUGAUUUGGCUAUAACUCUCCACCAUAUUUUGUCUAAUAAAGGAGGCAUAGAUUUCCUCAGACUUUCAGAGCCUCUCUCAGACAGGUCCUGACUCAUUUC